Molecule: long non-coding RNA, 1259 nt
Organism: Haliotis rufescens (red abalone)
Lineage: Eukaryota; Metazoa; Mollusca; Gastropoda; Lepetellida; Haliotidae
Exons: 2
Source: RefSeq, a predicted model, not a curated record
AGGCCUAAUUAGCACUGACUGAAGUAGCCUAAAUGUGGAUCAUCAGGUUGUUGCUGCUGUCUAUAAAGUUUAUCAUAGCAAGGUGCUUAUCAUGUGUAUUUUUAUUAUUUCCGAAAAAAGAAUCAAUUCAUCAUUUUCCGAUAACUAGAUCUAUGUCCGACUCCUUUCUAAUGAAAACGAGCCAAAGUAAAACGAGUCUCUCGUCGCGCGCUAUAACGGGGUGUUUGCGGUAUUGUCCUCUCUGGUGAUGAUAAGCUAGUCGAUAGUCAAAAGUUAAAUAUCACCAUAUAUUGUCAGUGAGUUGGUCAUCGUUUGUUGAUUAUUAAAGUGAGAUAGGUGUAGCCAAUGUGCACCAAUGAAAAAUACAAUGGAAUUGAUAGCAACCAUAUUCUUUCGGUUUUCGAUCUGCAUAUGUUGCCACGUAGGCUACCAUACUACAGAAUUAUAUUUAACGAUAUUUAACUGUAUUAGAUCUGUUAAUAAACGUAGUGACAAAUAAAUUUCAAAAAAUAUUUAGAGCUGUUUCAACUCCGUCUGGUAUUGUAUAAGCUAUUGCAUUUUGUUUAUUUCCCCAUGUUUCUAAUCUUUGUAAAUGUUAGAACAUAUAUAACUAUCCUGGCAUAUUAAUAUGGAAAAUAUUAAGGUAGAUCUAAGUAUUAAAAAAAAUCACAGUUUUAAUUAGGAUAAAUACCCCAAAGUGUUAACACUUUUAUCACUUAUUGGUGGGCCAAUUCAUAAUUCAUAUUCAACAUUCUUGCUUCAAAUAUGGGAACUAUUUAUUUUAUUUGGCAAUAUAUAUUUUUCAUUUAUGUACAUAUUUUUCAAAUAAGGUUUUAGAAACUUGGCCAUGAUAUUCACUUGAAUCACUAGUUUGAGUGUACAGCAGAAAGGUAAAGUUACUGCUUUUGAAAAACUACAGUUGAUCUGUUGACUGAUAAAACUAUUUGCCAAUAUUACUAUCAGUUACAUCAUACUCUAUUAGUCUAAGUAAAUGGGAUUUAUCUAUACAGUACUGGUUUAUUUAAGAAUGUGAUACUUUGUGGUUUCUGUUUUUCUUUCAGGUGGAGAAAACAGUAUUGUGGGAGCGUAUUUGUUUAAAGUACAUAUCACUGACAGAAAGUUACCAAGGCAUAAGGAGAGACUGAGGAUACAGUUGAAGAUCAUCCCUGUGACUUUUCAUUUGAGGACUGAAAAGGCUCCCUAGCAACUCAGCCCAUGUUCUGACUUGUCAUUUAACAAAUAAAUAAAGGUCACCUCAA